UUAUUACAUCAAAAUAUAUGACUACAACAUGUAGAAAAUGCUUGGAUGAAGCUUAAAGUCAAUUAGUAGCUCUGGAACAAGGCUACAUAGAUAGCUUCCUAGUAUUUCCAAAGGAGAAAGGUGGUACCGGCACAUGAUAGGGGAAGUGCUCAUAUCCUCCACGUAAAGAUUGCAGUACCUGGUCAAGGGAAAGUUUUGAUGGAGUCUCCCUUUAGUACGUAAGAAGCACUAAAGCCCUGGUACAAAGGUGCCUAGAGGAGCUAUGACCAGGGGAAGGGCCACACUAAUAUUGAUAGUAGGUGUCGCAACAGGUGUCGUACUGGGUGCCAUAGCAGGUGCUAUACCAGGUGCUGCAACAGAUGUUGUGGUAGCACAAUACCAAAUAAGAUAGCAGGUGUUGUGUCAGGUGCGAUGAACGAUGCUUUCACAAUACAAAAUCUAGAGAUAAACGCAACAUGAACAGAGUAUCCAUUACAUCCCAAGCAUACAAAUAAACCUUAAACCACACAAAGAUACCAAAUUCAUUCUCAAAAUAGCAAAAUUCAAGGU
This 549-nucleotide unclassified non-coding RNA is filed under the name Hevea brasiliensis (rubber tree). Lineage: Eukaryota; Viridiplantae; Streptophyta; Magnoliopsida; Malpighiales; Euphorbiaceae. The record is from RNAcentral.